CCUACGGGAGGCAGCAGUGAGGAAUAUUGGUCAAUGGCCGAGAGGCUGAACCAGCCAAGUCGCGUGAGGGAAGACGGCCCUACGGGUUGUAAACCUCUUUUGUCGGGGAGCAAAGAGAGUCACGUGUGCCCCAUUGAGAGUACCCGAAGAAAAAGCAUCGGCUAACUCCGUGCCAGCAGCCGCGGUAAUACGGAGGGUGCAAGCGUUGUCCGGAAUUAUUGGGGGUAAAGAGUGCGUAGGCGGCAUGUUAAGUCAGGGGUUAAAGGCGCAGGCUCAACCUGUGUCCGGCAGUUGAUACUGGCAAGCUGGAAUGCGGUAGAGGUAAAAGGAAUUCCAGGUGUAGCGGUGAAAUGCUUAGAUAUCGGGAGGAACAUCGGUGGCGUAAGCGCUUUACUGGGCCGUAAUUGACGCUGAGGAACGAAAGCCAGGGUAGCAAAUGGGAUUAGAUACCCCGGUAGUC
Molecule: ribosomal RNA, 460 nt
Filed under: uncultured bacterium
Lineage: Bacteria
Description: partial 16S ribosomal RNA
Rfam family: Bacterial small subunit ribosomal RNA
Source: RNAcentral